This 149-nucleotide unclassified non-coding RNA is filed under the name soil metagenome. RNAcentral's name for it is "partial internal transcribed spacer 1". The record is from RNAcentral.
UAAUAAGUGUUUUAUGGCACUUUUUUAAAUCCAUAUCCACCUUGUGUGCAAUGUCAGUCGAUCUUCUUCAUGGAGAUUGACCAAACAUCAACCUUUAUCUUUUAAACUACUUUGUCUGAAAAAAUAUUAUGAAUAAACAAUUCAAAAUA